Molecule: unclassified non-coding RNA, 200 nt
Filed under: soil metagenome
Description: partial contains internal transcribed spacer 2 and large subunit ribosomal RNA
Source: RNAcentral
CCAAGCUCCGGGCUCGGUGUUGGGCCCACAUCCCCCCCAACGGAUGAGCCUCAAAAUCAGUGGCGGCGUGGCAUGACCCCGAGCGUAGUGACACUAUUUUUGCUCCGUGGGUUUCAUGCGACGGUGGCCAGAACUGGAUGUCACAGUCCAACUUCUCAAAGGUUGACCUCGGAUCAGGUAGGGAUACCCGCUGAACUUAA